RNAcentral lists this ribosomal RNA (484 nucleotides) under uncultured bacterium. RNAcentral's name for it is "partial 16S ribosomal RNA". It matches the Rfam family "Bacterial small subunit ribosomal RNA", at positions 28 to 523 of the family's 1533-position model. The record is from RNAcentral.
GACGAACGCUGGCGGCGUGCUUAACACAUGCAAGUCGAACGAUGAUGCUGGAGCUUGCUCCAGUUGAUUAGUGGCGAACGGGUGAGUAACACGUGAGUAACCUGCCCUUGACUCUGGGAUAACUGCGGGAAACUGUAGCUAAUACCGGAUACGACCCUCGGCGGCAUCGCCAGGGGGUGGAAAGAAUUUCGGUCAAGGAUGGACUCGCGGCCUAUCAGCUAGUUGGUGAGGUAACGGCUCACCAAGGCGACGACGGGUAGCCGGCCUGAGAGGGUGACCGGCCACACUGGGACUGAGACACGGCCCAGACUCCUACGGGAGGCAGCAGUGGGGAAUAUUGCACAAUGAGCGCAAGCCUGAUGCAGCAACGCCGCGUGAGGGAUGACGGCCUUCGGGUUGUAAACCUCUUUUAGUAGGGAAGAAGCGAAAGUGACGGUACCUGCAGAAAAAGCACCGGCUAACUACGUGCCAGCAGCCGCCGCAG